This is a long non-coding RNA of Brassica napus (rape), 1518 nucleotides long. RefSeq lists it as uncharacterized. The transcript has 2 exons. The record is from RefSeq and is a predicted model, not a curated record. NCBI's taxonomy places the organism in Eukaryota, Viridiplantae, Streptophyta, Magnoliopsida, Brassicales, Brassicaceae.
CAGCGCCUAGCUACUUUCCGAAUAAGAAAUAAUACUCAGCCCCAUGUGGCUUUUAUAAAAUCAAGUUGACAAAAAAUUCGUGGGCUUUAGUGGCUUUCGUUUAGGGCCCAUUUGUUUGAUGUGUAUAUGUAUAUAUAAAGACACCCUAGAACGUAAGGGAGGACUUGUGUGUGUGAUACGUUAGAAAGGUUUGAGAGGAUGAAGGCGACGGCUGAACACGGUACAGCUAAGAUAGCGGUGUGGUGGGACAUGAAGGACUGUCCGAUUCCGGAAGGUUAUGACGCUGGUCGGGUCCGAGCGAGCUUAAGCGGCGUUCAAGGAACGACCAAACACAAACCCCUGGUCACAUCCUGCAAGGGCUCGUAUCCACUGGAAUCUCUGUAGCACAUACCAGAUCCGAAAGCACAAACUACCUCAUGUAUCGGGAUAUUGUGGAAUGGCGAGGUCAGAAUGCUCCUCCAGCUACAAUGAUGAUCAUACCAGAUAAGGUGCGAGGUGUCUUUGAUUGGGAUCUGCUCCGGCAACAACAACGGACGCGAUACAACCUUUUUCUGGCUUAUUCAGUUAAGCCUCGAGUAGCUAACCUCCUCUGCACAAGUGAAGAGUGGUGCUGGACAAGUUUACUAUAUAGUAAACAAAGCGGACCAGUUGUUGUUCAGAGUGCCAAGUUGUAUUGCAAAUCGUGCAAUUUCGAUUGCCAAAGCCUGAAGAAAUUCGAGAAGCAUCUCUCGAGUUAUAAGCACGUACGAGAAGUAAGCAUCGUCUCUCUAUUUGCUUCAAUUUGAUUGAGAUUUUGUGUUAAACAUGAACAUUUCAAUAAUUUAUUUAUUUAUUUUGGAAACUAUGUCUAUGUAUAUAUAUAUAUAUAGGAAAAAUCGCAUUUUAAACCCUGAGAAUGUCACAUUCUAGCACUUUAAACACUGAACGUUUUUGAUUAGCACUUUAAACCUUGAAAAUAACAUUUUUAUCAUAACAAACCUCCAAGUCAACUAGGUGACCUUUACUGUUUGAGCAAUAACCCUGUUUAAAUUUUUGCACUUGCAUAACUUUUUGCACUUGGAGGAGAAGAGACUUCCUGCGUCUCGUAAAUCUAAUAUUCAGGGCCAGAGGCGAUUUCGAGUAGCUGAGUACGACCGACAUCAUUUGCCACAGGCAAGUUUUUUCUUUCUUUUUUUUUUCUCUCUCUCUCUCUCUCUCUCUCUCUACAAAAGAUUGAAUAGAAAAAGUAGUCGCAUGUACACUCAAAAUGUGUCAUACAUUGUAGGUGAAAAAUGAUCGAAAAACCAAACGUAUGAAGAAGAAAGCAAAUUCGGACGGGUUUUGGACUUCUUGAUGAUCACUUACGUCUUACUAAUCGACCUUGAUCUCAAACCUAGAGUGUUGAACUUGUUACUAAGCUGCAGCUCUUGCUUUUCGUUUCUAGUCUAUGUUUUAAUGUAAAAUACUUGUUUUUCAUUUUGCUUUGCUUGUUUAAUACCAUGGUUUUAUCUAUUUAAGAAAUACAACAAGUUAAUCUUA